CCCUUCCUCCAUCUAUAAGUUUUCUAAGAGUGUCUCAUCUAAAACUCUUUCUUCUACUUUUCAUCUUUGGAAGAGUCCAAAUCAUGAAGAAAGAGAUAUCUGAUCAACCAUCGAAGAAGGAUCAGCGCAGUACUAGCAUACUGUGCUGAUUUCCUGGACCAGGACUUCUGAUCUGAUUCGUGGGCUCGUGUGGAUGUCUCCUAGAGGCCGGAUGUGUGUGCAGCUCACAACAUCAUCCACAAGCCUAGAUCAGCAAAGAUAGAAUGUCUAACUUGUAAGGUAAUAGAUCUGAUCUAUUAUAUUUUACAUACAUUAGAUGUAGUAUAGAAACAUGUUGAUAUGAUCAACAUGUAGUUCUUGCUCUUUAUAUUUUAAUUUUUG
Molecule: long non-coding RNA, 381 nt
Filed under: Elaeis guineensis (African oil palm)
Lineage: Eukaryota; Viridiplantae; Streptophyta; Magnoliopsida; Arecales; Arecaceae
Description: long non-coding RNA (EGUI_LNC070104)
Source: RNAcentral